Long non-coding RNA from Mesocricetus auratus (golden hamster), 1349 nucleotides. RefSeq lists it as uncharacterized. Lineage: Eukaryota; Metazoa; Chordata; Mammalia; Rodentia; Cricetidae. The record is from RefSeq and is a predicted model, not a curated record. The transcript has 3 exons.
UGGUCCCCAAGGCUGUGUGGAGGACACAGGCCAGCGAGAACCUCAGCUUUGACCUCCCUGGCUUCUGCUUCUCCGUUCUCUUUCUGUACCCUCCAUCUUUUCCUACUAACUCUGUGGUCCUUAACCCUAACACAGCUGACAGGGUUUUUUUUUUUUUUGUUCAUUUCUUAGGUGCUAAACACUCGGAAACACCGAAGGGACCCAGGAUCCCUGCCAACAGGGUCUUUCGCAAGAGCUUACCUCUCUCCUCACUGAGCAGCAUGGGGCCUGUGGAUACCACCCUGGAAAUCAGUUUGUUGAACGCUGGCUAGCUGCUGGGUGAGGACGGCGGUCCGAGGGCGGUGCUGAUGAGAAAUGUCGUUUGCUCUGGCCUCCUGAAUCUGGUUUGUGGUGGGUGCUGUGGAUCCAUUCAGGUGGCGGUGGCAUUGCACUGCACGGCUGCCGUCUGGAUGCUUACUGUGCGACACACACGCACACCAGCCCAGAGCACCACACCAUCCCAACUUCACCACACCUGUGAGAUAAGCCCUUUUUCACUUUGAGCCUGCCUCGGGUCUGAAACACUAAAAAACGGGGGAGUGUUAGGAGACACACAACUUGUCAAAAAACACAAAACAAAACAAAAGCACCUCACAAACCAAGUCUGCUUUGUCUAUACUCUUGUCUGCCUGGUCAUAGUUAGGUUCUCUGGAGGGGUUUGUCUCUUGUCACUUUCAGACCACAGCUAAGUCCCACCGAUGCUGGGAUGAGAUUCUGCACGCUACUGUCAGGCUCGGGAGAGAUGUGGCACUGUGGACUCGACACUUCUUUUGAACCCAAAUGUAGUCCUUCAGUAAAUUGAAAUUAAAGGGAAAAAAAGAUGCUCAGACACUUUUGCAGGGAGCCUAACACUGAAGCAAGGACCUCUUCAUCCAGUACGAGAAUGUCCCAUGGGAGCAUCCCGAGGAAGAAUCAUCAAAGUUGAGUCUGAAGUUAACUCUCACUACCAAGUGGCUGUAUAAGCCUUAAAACACAAGUUGGUAGAACCUGUGCGUCUUUUACAAACUGAUUUAUCUUCUUUUUUUUCUACUUUUAAAGUCUUUUUAAAAGACAUGUGGGUGUUUUGCCUGCAUGUCUGUAUGCCACACAUAUUUGGCAUUGGAGAAGGCUAGAACAAAGUGUCAGGCCCCUUAGGAAUGGAGUUAUGGAUGGUUGUAAGCCACUAUGUGGAUACCUGGAAUUAAAUGGCAGUCCUUUGGAAGAGCAGCCCGGUGCUCUUAAACACUAGUCCGUCUCUCCAGCCACUGCCUUUAUCUUUAAAAAUGCUGCUAUAGGCUGGGUGGUGGUGGCGCAUGCCUUUAAUCCCAGCA